CCCCCUCCCCGGUGCCUCCCGCAGCCGGCUCAGCGCCCGGCCCGCCCGUGCAUCGCGGGAGCGCCUUGACAGCACUUGCGCCCGCGGCCAGGACAGCGCGGGGACUCGGAGCCGGGGAGCAGAACAAGGGCAUGGGAACUGCAUCUGUGCACGCUGGCAUCCUUGUCCGUUCCUCACGUGGUAUUUGGUAUUUGGAGCCUGCAGCACAGCACCUUUGCCAGGCACACUGACUGUCAGUGCUUGGGGCUUUGGGGGAGCCCACAAGGGACCUGCAGAGAUUUUGACAAGUCUUACAUGUUUUCUGCUCCAUUCUUUGGGUCAAGAACACGCUGGUUAAUAGCCAAUUAUUUCAUACCCUAAGGAAGUUUUGGGAAAGAAGUUCCUGAGAAGACAACUUGUUUUAGGAAAUCGGGCUAAUAUUCAGUAGUUAUCAUGAAGGAAUUGCAUCUUUGCAGCAUGAAUCCAGCCCAGUUUGUUCCUCCUCACAGCACCUGUCAAGAAGAGUGCUUUGACUUUCCAGGAGACAAAAUGAAUUUCUUAGAUGCACCACUGAUAUCCCUCAGCAUUCUGCAGCCCAGCGCAUACAGCCUGGGGAAGUCUUGUAGAUCCUCCACAAAGCACUGACUCAAGGGAAGAAGACAUCUCUGAAUUCUGAGUUCGAAUAACCUGGGUCCAACCAGCAGGAGCUUUUUCUCUGUGAGAUUAAAUAUGUAAGAUUUUAUAACCCAGUUUAAACAUGUCCCAUGCAAAAUUCAGGAUUGGUUUUCAGUAUGUAAUUUUCCUUUAAUUUUUAAACAAGUUCUUGCAAUGAUGUUAAUUUUAUUAUCUGUAUUGAUGGAAUGAUGAAGAAAUCAAAAUACAAAAAUCUACAGAUAAA
This 877-nucleotide long non-coding RNA is filed under the name Strigops habroptila (Kakapo). RNAcentral's name for it is "lncRNA (ENSSHBG00005005847.1)". The record is from RNAcentral. Lineage: Eukaryota; Metazoa; Chordata; Aves; Psittaciformes; Psittacidae.